UGGGGAAUUUUGGACAAUGGGGGCAACCCUGAUCCAGCCAUCCCGCGUGUGCGAUGAAGGCCUUCGGGUUGUAAAGCACUUUUGGCAGGGAAGAAACAGCCUGGGAUAAUACCCCGGGCGACUGACGGUACCUGCAGAAUAAGCACCGGCUAACUACGUGCCAGCAGCCGCGGUAAUACGUAGGGUGCAAGCGUUAAUCGGAAUUACUGGGCGUAAAGCGUGCGCAGGCGGUUCGGAAAGAAAGGUGUGAAAUCCCAGGGCUUAACCUUGGAACUGCACUUUUAACUACCGAGCUAGAGUACGUCAGAGGGGGGUAGAAUUCCACGUGUAGCAGUGAAAUGCGUAGAGAUGUGGAGGAAUACCGAUGGCGAAGGCAGCCCCCUGGGAUGAUACUGACGCUCAUGCACGAAAGCGUGGGGAGCAAACAGGAUUAGAUACCCUGGUAGUCCACGCCCUAAACGAUGUCAACUAGUUGUUGGGGAUUCAUUUCCUUAGUAACGUAGCUAACGCGUGAAGUUGACCCGCCUGGGGAGUACGGUCGCAAGAUU
This 548-nucleotide ribosomal RNA is filed under the name uncultured bacterium. Its description in RNAcentral is "partial 16S ribosomal RNA". It matches the Rfam family "Bacterial small subunit ribosomal RNA", at positions 355 to 895 of the family's 1533-position model. The record is from RNAcentral.